RNAcentral lists this ribosomal RNA (478 nucleotides) under uncultured bacterium. Its description in RNAcentral is "partial 16S ribosomal RNA". It matches the Rfam family "Bacterial small subunit ribosomal RNA", at positions 28 to 507 of the family's 1533-position model. The record is from RNAcentral.
GAUGAACGCUGGCGGCGUGCUUAACACAUGCAAGUCGAACGAGAAAUGUAGACGGAAACCUUCGGGCGGAAGCCUUCAUUUCGAGUGGCGGACGGGUGAGUAACGCGUGGGUAACCUGCCUCAUACAGGGGGAUAACAGUUGGAAACGACUGUUAAUACCGCAUAAGACCACAGCAUCGCAUGAUGCGGGGGUAAAAACUCCGGUGGUAUGAGAUGGACCCGCGUUCGAUUAGCCAGUUGGCGGGGUAACGGCCCACCAAAGCGACGAUCGAUAGCCGAUCUGAGAGGAUGACCGGCCACAUUGGGACUGAGACACGGCCCAAACUCCUACGGGAGGCAGCAGUGGGGAAUAUUGCACAAUGGGGGAAGCCCUGAUGCAGCGACGCCGCGUGAGUGAAGAAGUACUUCGGUAUGUAAAGCUCUAUCAGCAGGGAAGAAAAUGACGGUACCUGAGUAAGAAGCCCCGGCUAACUACGUG